GAUGAAGAACGUAGCGAAAUGCGAUAAGUAGUGUGAAUUGCAGAAUUCAGUGAAUCAUCGAAUCUUUGAACGCACAUUGCGCCCGUUAGCAUUCUAGCGGGCAUGCCUGUCCGAGCGUCAUUUCAACCCUCAGGGUCCCCGUUCCGGCGGGGAACCUGGUGUUGGGGAUCGGCCCGCCCCGUGCGGCGCCGUCCCCCAAAUUCAGUGGCGGUCUCGCUGCAGCCUCCCCUGCGUAGUAGUUACAACCUCGCAUCGGAGCUCAGCGCGGCCACGCCGUAAAACCCCCGACUUUCUGAACGUUGACCUCGGAUCAGGUAGGAAUACCCGCUGAACUUAAGCAUAUCAAUAAGCGGAGGA
Molecule: unclassified non-coding RNA, 357 nt
Filed under: soil metagenome
Description: partial contains 5.8S ribosomal RNA, internal transcribed spacer 2, and large subunit ribosomal RNA
Rfam family: 5.8S ribosomal RNA (bases 1-120)
Source: RNAcentral